This 505-nucleotide ribosomal RNA is filed under the name uncultured bacterium. Its description in RNAcentral is "partial 16S ribosomal RNA". It matches the Rfam family "Bacterial small subunit ribosomal RNA", at positions 29 to 523 of the family's 1533-position model. The record is from RNAcentral.
AUUGAACGCUGGCGGCAUGCCUAACACAUGCAAGUCGAGCGGCAGCACGGUAUAGCUUGCUAUACGGGUGGCGAGUGGCGAACGGGUGAGUAACGCGUAGGAAUAUACCUUAGAGAGGGGGAUAACCUGGGGAAACUCAGGCUAAUACCGCAUACGUUCUUCGGAAUAAAGCUGGGGACCUUCGGGCCUGGCGCUUUAAGAAUAGCCUGCGUCCGAUUAGCUAGUUGGUAGGGUAAGGGCCUACCAAGGCGACGAUCGGUAGCUGGUCUGAGAGGAUGACCAGCACACUGGGACUGAGACACGGCCCAGACUCCUACGGGAGGCAGCAGUGGGGAAUAUUGGACAAUGGGGGAAACCCUGAUCCAGCAAUGCCGCGUGUGUGAAGAAGGCCUGAGGGUUGUAAAGCACUUUCAGUGGGGAGGAGAGACGGAAGGUUAGGAGCCAUUUGUUGAGACGUUACCCACAGAAGAAGCACCGGCUAACUCCGUGCCAGCCGCCGCGGUAA